This 495-nucleotide ribosomal RNA is filed under the name Triticum aestivum (bread wheat). RNAcentral's name for it is "partial small subunit ribosomal RNA". The record is from RNAcentral. Lineage: Eukaryota; Viridiplantae; Streptophyta; Magnoliopsida; Poales; Poaceae.
AUGUCCAUGGCUGAAUAUCUUGGCAAAAUCAAAACCCUUACAGAUGAGAUCGCAUGCUGCACCGGAGUCCCUCUUCCUGAUCCCGAGAUCGUCUCCAAGAUCAUGGCUGGACUCGACCUGGACUACAAUCCAGUCGUGUCCGCGUUGUCCGCUAGGGUUGAGCCGGUUUCGGUUCAGGAACUGUACAGCCAGCUCUUGAGUUUCGACGCUCUCCUUGCGCUCCUUCACGGCACCAACACCAGACAAUCUUCUGUCAACUCGGCGGCUCGCGGGCGCGGACAUGGACGCGGUCACCAAGGCCAGGGCCGCAACGGCGGCGGCCGUGGUCGCGGCAACUACCAGGGCGAGGGCGCUCGUCCUGGUGGUGGCAGCAAUUCAGGAGGCGGCGGCUACAACAACAACGCAGGAGGCGGCGGCUUCAACAACAACAACAGCCGCCGUGCUUCUUCGAAUCGCCGUUCUCGCUGUCAACUGUGCACAAUGUUGGGGAUAUAG